RNAcentral lists this small RNA (132 nucleotides) under Salmonella enterica subsp. enterica. Its description in RNAcentral is "RtT sRNA". It matches the Rfam family "RtT RNA". Rfam says of the family: This family represents a bacterial cis-regulatory element known as RtT RNA. The exact function of RtT is unknown although it is thought that it may be involved in changing the cellular response in relation to amino acid starvation. Lineage: Bacteria; Pseudomonadati; Pseudomonadota; Gammaproteobacteria; Enterobacterales; Enterobacteriaceae. The record is from RNAcentral.
AGUUGCACUUGUCGGGGAAGGGUGAGAACCUUCGAUUAAGGUUCGACUCGAGCGAAAGCGAGAGAACGUUGCCAACGGCAACGGCCCGUAGGGUGAGGAGCGAAGCGACGAAUAAUCCUUCCCCCACCACCA